RNAcentral lists this long non-coding RNA (688 nucleotides) under Rattus norvegicus (Norway rat). RNAcentral's name for it is "long non-coding RNA NONRATT003552". The record is from RNAcentral. Lineage: Eukaryota; Metazoa; Chordata; Mammalia; Rodentia; Muridae.
UAGAACAAUGGAUGACUUUAUUCGCUGAUACUUAACCAUUUACAUAGUCCAGGAAGUAGCUCAUCAGUGUUUAUCUAGUAUGCACCGGUUUUUGUUUUUUUUUCUUUGUCCCACCCCCAGCCAAGACAAGGUUUCAGUUUCUCUGUUUAACAGCCCUGGCUGUCCUGGAACUCAGUUUGUGGACUAGGCUGACCUUAAACUCAGAGAUCGUUCUAGCUCUGCUGGGCUUUAAAGGCAUACGCCACCACUGCCCAGCAUGUGCGCUGGUUUCUAUUACUAAGACACCCGGGGUAGUGGCACAUGUCUGCAAUCUGUGCACAACAUGGAAAGUAGAGGUUAACUCCACUGUAUAUCAAAAUACCUGGAACCCCCUCCCAUUACGCAAACUGAUUCUCUUUGUUGGACAAUAUAUAUUGUUUCAACAUAUAUUCAACAAAAUAAGGAGACUCACAAAAGAAAAUCCUAUGUUCCCAUUAGUAACUAUGUUUCUAUUUCAAUGUUACAUAAUAAAAACAUUUAAAAUCCUUUCACUAGCUUUUUAACCCAAUCAUACAAAAUUUCAGAACUCCCCCCCUCCAGCCAAAUAUCCACUACUCCGGAGAUCUUUUUCCAGUCUUCACAACAGUUUUGAGACUUUUAGCCCAGAAUAGCCUUCAACUUACACAAAAGUCUCAGCCUUGAACUAUAC